CUCCAACUGGAAAUUUCAGACUUACUCCUAUGAUCUUGUGUUUUUCAAAAAGUUUAAAAUUUCACAUUGCUGCUAUGCUCCAUCCAGUGAAGACAAGGUUACCUGCCAGAAAUAAUCCGAAAGGCAAAUAGUACAGUUUUACCAGUUUCUCUGUUAUGUCAUUCAUUUCCAAGUAAAGAAUAGAUCAACAAAUAGACAAAAUCCUUUUUGUCCCCAGACAGAAGAAUUUAAAAGGUUAAUUUUAUACAUGUUGGUGGAUUUUUUUCCCCUAUAUGUGGUACAAACCACCCCCUAGAGGCAAAUUACUUAAAUCAACUCUCGUAACCACACAUACAUAUUCAUGCAGCCAGCAGUGGGAGGUGUGGAGGGCAGGGGACUCCAGGUGACUCAGUAUGUCUGGCAUCCGGGUCAGGAAUUUCAGUCGAUGGCAGAGGGAUUGCCACCAUCAUAGGUGCUGCGUAUGAACUGCCACCGAAUCACUGCAUGUGAUGUGUGCUGUGUGAGGUCCUUCCGGAUCUGUCUUGAGGCCAGGCAACCCUUAAUGUGAGGCAGCUUUAAUUUUUUCCAGCUCAUUCAGCAUGGACGGCCUGGAAGACUUGCUUUCCUGCUAGCUUCUUAGGUGUUUAACUCCUAGUUCGUUGUGGAAUUUAUAACCCAUAUCUUGGCAUUGCCAUUGGCAAAGAGGAAGAUUUCUUUGCAAAGAGGAAGAUGUUAAUCUUCAGGCCUAGAUUUUCUGGUUCAUUACAUCGUAUGACGUCAAUAGCGAAGGAACCAGAGAGCACAGGCCUCUGGGUCAGCGUCUGAACCAGCAGGAUGGAGCACUGGUACACAUCUGGCCUUGCCUCAGACCCACUGGAAUCAGCUUACCUUACCUCUUCAGUCUCAAGAGUCCCAUUUGCAAAAGAGAGCUUAUACUGUGUGCCUUGGCGGAAGGGCAAGCAAGCACAUGACAAAUUCUCAUAAACAACCUUGAUACAAACAUGCCAACUACAGAAGAAAUAUUGGGAGCUGGCACAGUCAUGAAUUCAAAGCUGAACCCUCAACUCUCCACAAUUGACCUAAGACUUAUGAUCGUCCAUUCUCUACUAUCCCUGCCCUCAAAAGAAGAUCUACAAUAUGAGGAAUAUUAAAGGUCAGUGAAUACAAUGAAGUAUAAACAAUGCAAUGCUAUCUGAAAUCUGCUUUAAAACAUCGAAGGAAAGAAAAGUAUGCAUAGUGGAUAAAUGAAACGAUUGACAAAUUGUAGAUAAUUGUGAAAGGUGGAUGACAGGCACAUGGGAGCUCAUCAUGCUUUUGUAUUCGUGUGAAAUUAAAUGUGUUUACAAAAUUUUUUACAAGUCAAAGUCAUAAGGAAUUACAGGCCAGAUAUGGUGGCUCAUGCCUAUAAUUCCAGCACCAUGGGAGGCUGAAGUGGAAGGAUUACUUCAGGCCAGAAGUUUGAAACCAGCCUGGGCAAUAUAG
Non-coding RNA from Chlorocebus sabaeus (green monkey), 1461 nucleotides. Lineage: Eukaryota; Metazoa; Chordata; Mammalia; Primates; Cercopithecidae. The record is from RefSeq and is a predicted model, not a curated record.